This 563-nucleotide ribosomal RNA is filed under the name uncultured bacterium. Its description in RNAcentral is "partial 16S ribosomal RNA". It matches the Rfam family "Bacterial small subunit ribosomal RNA", at positions 355 to 1376 of the family's 1533-position model. The record is from RNAcentral.
UGGGGAAUAUUGGACAAUGGGCGCAAGCCUGAUCCAGCCAUGCCGCGUGAGUGAUGAAGGCCCUAGGGUUGUAAAGCUCUUUCACCGGUGAAGAUAAUGACGGUAACCGGAGAAGAAGCCCCGGCUAACUUCGUGCCAGCAGCCGCGGUAAUACGAAGGGGGCUAGCGUUGUUCGGAAUUACUGGGCGUAAAGCGCACGUAGGCGGACAUUUAAGUCAGGGGUGAAAUCCCGGGGCUCAACCCCGGAACUGCCUUUGAUACUGGGUGUCUAGAGUUCGAGAGAGGUGAGUGGAAUUCCGAGUGUAGAGGUGAAAUUCGUAGAUAUUCGGAGGAACACCAGUGGCGAAGGCGGCUCACUGGCUCGAUACUGACGCUGAGGUGCGAAAGCGUGGGGAGCAAAACAGGAUUAGAUACCCUGGUAGUCCACGCCGUAAACGAUGGAAGCCAGCUGUCGGCAAGUUUACUUGUCGGUGGCGCAGCUAACGCAUUAAGCUUCCCGCCUGGGGAGUACGGUCGCAAGAUUAAAACUUAAAUGAAAUUGACGGGGUCAUAGCUGUUUCCUG